This 497-nucleotide ribosomal RNA is filed under the name uncultured bacterium. Its description in RNAcentral is "partial 16S ribosomal RNA". It matches the Rfam family "Bacterial small subunit ribosomal RNA", at positions 28 to 507 of the family's 1533-position model. The record is from RNAcentral.
GAUGAACGCUGGCGGCGUGCCUAAUACAUGCAAGUCGAGCGAACAGACGAGGAGCUUGCUCCUCUGACGUUAGCGGCGGACGGGUGAGUAACACGUGGAUAACCUACCUAUAAGACUGGGAUAACUUCGGGAAACCGGAGCUAUUACCGGAUAAUAUAUUGAACCGCAUGGUUCAAUAGUGAAAGACGGUUUUGCUGUCACUUAUAGAUGGAUCCGCGCCGCAUUAGCUAGUUGGUAAGGUAACGGCUUACCAAGGCGACGAUGCGUAGCCGACCUGAGAGGGUGAUCGGCCACACUGGAACUGAGACACGGUCCAGACUCCUACGGGAGGCAGCAGUAGGGAAUCUUCCGCAAUGGGCGAAAGCCUGACGGAGCAACGCCGCGUGAGUGAUGAAGGUCUUCGGAUCGUAAAACUCUGUUAUUAGGGAAGAACAAAUGUGUAAGUAACUAUGCACGUCUUGACGGUACCUAACCAGAAAGCCACGGCUAACUACGUG